RNAcentral lists this ribosomal RNA (800 nucleotides) under uncultured bacterium. RNAcentral describes it as "bacterial SSU rRNA". It matches the Rfam family "Bacterial small subunit ribosomal RNA", at positions 8 to 806 of the family's 1533-position model. The record is from RNAcentral.
AGAGUUUGAUCAUGGCUCAGGAUGAACGCUGGCGGCGUGCCUAACACAUGCAAGUCGAACGAAGCAUUUACGGAUGACCCCUUCGGGGGGAUUUUGUUUAUGACUGAGUGGCGGACGGGUGAGUAACGCGUGGGGAACCUGCCUCUGCCAGGGGGAUAACAGUUAGAAAUGACUGCUAAUACCGCAUAAGCGCACAGAACCGCAUGGUUCGGUGUGAAAAGCCGAGACGGACAGAGAUGGACCCGCGUCUGAUUAGGUAGUUGGUGAGGUAACGGCCCACCAAGCCGACGAUCAGUAGCCGACCUGAGAGGGUGACCGGCCACAUUGGGACUGAGACACGGCCCAAACUCCUACGGGAGGCAGCAGUGGGGAAUAUUGCACAAUGGGGGAAACCCUGAUGCAGCGACGCCGCGUGAAGGAAGAAGUAUUUCGGUACGUAAACUUCUAUCAGCAGGGAAGAAAACGACGGUACCUGACUAAGAAGCUCCGGCUAAAUACGUGCCAGCAGCCGCGGUAAUACGUAUGGAGCAAGCGUUAUCCGGAUUUACUGGGUGUAAAGGGAGCGUAGGCGGCGAUGCAAGUCAGAGGUGAAAGCCCGGGGCUCAACUCCGGGACUGCCUUUGAAACUGUAUGGCUGGAUUGCAGGAGAGGUAAGUGGAAUUCCUAGUGUAGCGGUGAAAUGCGUAGAUAUUAGGAGGAACACCAGUGGCGAAGGCGGCUUACUGGACUGUAAAUGACGCUGAGGCUCGAAAGCGUGGGGAGCAAACAGGAUUAGAUACCCUGGUAGUCCACGCGGUAAA